GAUCACGCCCUGAGCCGAAGGCAGACGCUUAACCACUGUGCCACCCAGGUCCUCAUGUCUUCUUCUGUAUUCGAUCUGCUGUGAUAUGUUGUUUUGGUUGAAAUAUGUAAAGAAAAUCGAGCUCUAUACAGAUACAAAGUUGGAAAAGCCAAACAGAACAACAGCAUCAAAAAGAUACUGUCCCUGCUUCAGGAGUGUACGUGCUAAGCAAUGAAAAUGGAGAAUUUGUAAUGAUUUGCAAACCUACUUGUCAGCAGCGUAGGCAACAGGGACAUGAACCUUUUGAACAAGCAGAAACAGCGACUUGAGAAGUAGCCUGCAGGCCUUCAAAGCCCAUCUGCGUUUUAAAGCUUUACCGUAACUAAAUCCAAUUUGUACAUCAGAAAACUGGGAAAGAACAGGACUCUCCUAAUAAAAAGAAAAAGUAGAACUCAUGGUCUCAGGGAAAGUUUUCAGAAUUUGCCAGAUCUCAAUGGUAGUCUAGAGUGUUUCGACACGUGCCAGGCAGAGCAAGAAGCGAGGCCAGGGUCUUCCCGCAGGUGGAAGGAAGGCUUGGAACAGGGCUAUAACAUAAGGUGGCUGGGGGCCUCCCUCCCGGCCCCUCUCCCUCUUGCGGAUCAACCAGCCUUUUUAGAAUAGAAAUAGGAAUUUUAUUUGUCCCAAAUCUAAGGACAGGGGCACAAUUUUUAAACUGGAAGAGCUUUACCCCUCUCCCUCCCCUUCCCCCCAGUAAAUUUCAUCUUGCCUGAAAGUCACCAGGCAGUCGGCAAAAAGGAGGACCUGCUCCCUGCUGGAGUCUCUGAAUGAAAAAUAUGUUUUGGUGUUAGCUCAUCCCAUUGCUGAAGAAUUGGGAGAAAAUAGAGCGUAGCAUUUCAAGGAUUCCAAAAACAAGCAGAAUUUGAGAAGUGGAAUAUGAAGAGCUAAGACCCAAGAUCAAUACAUCAGCCGUUCGAAGAGGAUAAUAAAGCAGGCAUGAAGCCCUGGGGGUCCGCCACAGCGAGCAGGACUUGAGUCUUCUUGAAGCCUUUCCUCCCAGAAGCUCCAAAGGCAACACUGGGCGUCAAACUGACAAAGUACAAAAGCACGGAAGAACAACCACCAGGAGCAUAGAAGGUUCGAAUUAAAUUGGGCUUAGGUGCAACAGGAAGGACCAGAGGACCCUGAGCUCUAGCCAUGGGAGGUUAAGAUGAUUACCUGGCUUUGGAGCCAGCUAGACUGCUCUUCCCUCCGGGACGC
Long non-coding RNA from Ailuropoda melanoleuca (giant panda), 1236 nucleotides. RefSeq lists it as uncharacterized. NCBI's taxonomy places the organism in Eukaryota, Metazoa, Chordata, Mammalia, Carnivora, Ursidae. The record is from RefSeq and is a predicted model, not a curated record. The transcript has 3 exons.